UGCUUAACACAUGCAAGUCGAACGAUGAUGCCCAGCUUGCUGGGUGGAUUAGUGGCGAACGGGUGAGUAACACGUGAGUAACCUGCCCCUGACUCUGGGAUAAGCGUUGGAAACGACGUCUAAUACUGGAUAUGACUGCCGGCCGCAUGGUCUGGUGGUGGAAAGAUUUUUUGGUUGGGGAUGGACUCGCGGCCUAUCAGCUUGUUGGUGAGGUAAUGGCUCACCAAGGCGACGACGGGUAGCCGGCCUGAGAGGGUGACCGGCCACACUGGGACUGAGACACGGCCCAGACUCCUACGGGAGGCAGCAGUGGGGAAUAUUGCACAAUGGGCGAAAGCCUGAUGCAGCAACGCCGCGUGAGGGAUGACGGCCUUCGGGUUGUAAACCUCUUUUAGUAGGGAAGAAGCGAAAGUGACGGUACCUGCAGAAAAAGCACCGGCUAACUACGUGCCAGCAGCCGCGGUAAUACGUAGGGUGCAAGCGUUGUCCGGAAUUAUUGGGCGUAAAGAGCUCGUAGGCGGUUUGUCGCGUCUGCUGUGAAAUCCCGAGGCUCAACCUCGGGCUUGCAGUGGGUACGGGCAGACUAGAGUGCGGUAGGGGAGAUUGGAAUUCCUGGUGUAGCGGUGGAAUGCGCAGAUAUCAGGAGGAACACCGAUGGCGAAGGCAGAUCUCUGGGCCGUAACUGACGCUGAGGAGCGAAAGCGUGGGGAGCGAACAGGAUUAGAUACCCUGGUAGUCCACGCCGUAAACGUUGGGCGCUAGAUGUAGGGACCUUUCCACGGUUUCUGUGUCGUAGCUAACGCAUUAAGCGCCCCGCCUGGGGAGUACGGCCGCAAGGCUAAAACUCAAAGGAAUUGACGGGGGCCCGCACAAGCGGCGGAGCAUGCGGAUUAAUUCGAUGCAACGCGAAGAACCUUACCAAGGCUUGACAUACACCGGAAACGGCCAGAGAUGGUCGCCCCCUUGUGGUCGGUGUACAGGUGGUGCAUGGUUGUCGUCAGCUCGUGUCGUGAGAUGUUGGGUUAAGUCCCGCAACGAGCGCAACCCUCGUUCUAUGUUGCCAGCGCGUUAUGGCGGGGACUCAUAGGGACUGCCGGGGUCAACUCGGAGGAAGGUGGGGAUGACGUCAAAUCAUCAUGCCCCUUAUGUCUUGGGCUUCACGCAUGCUACAAUGGCCGGUACAAAGGGCUGCGAUACCGUAAGGUGGAGCGAAUCCCAAAAAGCCGGUCUCAGUUCGGAUUGAGGUCUGCAACUCGACCUCAUGAAGUCGGAGUCGCUAGUAAUCGCAGAUCAGCAACGCUGCGGUGAAUACGUUCCCGGGCCUUGUACACACCGCCCGUCAAGUCAUGAAAGUCGGUAACACCCGAAGCCGGUGGCCUAACCCUUGUGGAAGGAGCCGUCGAA
Molecule: ribosomal RNA, 1404 nt
Filed under: Curtobacterium citreum
Lineage: Bacteria; Bacillati; Actinomycetota; Actinomycetes; Micrococcales; Microbacteriaceae
Description: bacterial SSU rRNA
Rfam family: Bacterial small subunit ribosomal RNA
Source: RNAcentral